RNAcentral lists this ribosomal RNA (253 nucleotides) under uncultured bacterium. RNAcentral describes it as "partial 16S ribosomal RNA". It matches the Rfam family "Bacterial small subunit ribosomal RNA", at positions 524 to 776 of the family's 1533-position model. The record is from RNAcentral.
UACAGAGGGUGCUAGCGUUGUUCGGAAUUACUGGGCGUAAAGGGCGCGUAGGCGGCUCGUUUAGUCGGGUGUGAAAUCCCGGGGCUCAACCCCGGAACUGCAUUCGAUACUGGCGGGCUAGAGACCGGAAGAGGUGGGUGGAAUACCCAGUGUAGAGGUGAAAUUCGUAGAUAUUGGGUGGAACACCGGUGGCGAAGGCGGCCUGCUGGGCAGUUGCUGACACUGAGGCGCGACAGCGUGGGGAGCAAACAGG